UACAGAGGUGGCGAGCGUUAUUCGGAAUUAUUGGGCGUAAAGGGCGCGUAGGCGGCUUGACAAGUCCCGGGUGAAAUCCCUCGGCUCAACCGAGGAACUGCCUUGGAAACUGUCUGGCUUGAGGCCGGGAGAGGGUAGUGGAAUUCCCAGUGUAGCGGUGAAAUGCGUAGAUACUGGGAGGAACACCGGUGGCGAAGGCGGCCACCUGGACGGUCACUGACGCUGAGACGCGAAAGCGUGGGUAGCAAACAGG
RNAcentral lists this ribosomal RNA (253 nucleotides) under uncultured bacterium. Its description in RNAcentral is "partial 16S ribosomal RNA". It matches the Rfam family "Bacterial small subunit ribosomal RNA", at positions 524 to 776 of the family's 1533-position model. The record is from RNAcentral.